UACGUAGGUCGCAAGCGUUGUCCGGAUUUACUGGGCGUAAAGAGCGCGCAGGCGGCUGGUCAAGUCCGAUGUGAAAUCUCCCGGCUCAACUGGGAAACUGCAUCGGAAACUGAUCGGCUUGAAGAUGGGAGAGGGUAGUGGAAUUCCCGGUGUAGUGGUGAAAUGCGUAGAUAUCGAGAGGAACACCAGUGGCGCAAGCGGCUGACUGGCCGAGACCUGACGCUGAGACACGACGGCGUGGGGAGCAAACCGG
This 253-nucleotide ribosomal RNA is filed under the name uncultured bacterium. RNAcentral describes it as "partial 16S ribosomal RNA". It matches the Rfam family "Bacterial small subunit ribosomal RNA", at positions 524 to 776 of the family's 1533-position model. The record is from RNAcentral.